AAGUCGUAACAAGGUUUCCGUAGGUGAACCUGCGGAAGGAUCAUUAACACAAUCCUUUUCCAAUUAUCAAAACCUUGGCGCACUUGUCUUUGUUGAGCCUGUUGAGAGAAGGCCGGUUUGGCAAUGGUGAGAGCCAAAUUUCAUUUGGCUUGCCUGCCGCGCUGUUCAUCCAUUCACUCAGUGAGUGAGGUGAAGCUUCGACUCUUCAGGUCAUCACAGCCCCUUACCAUGGCUGGCCUCUUUUUUUUUCUUUCUUUUAAACCUUUUUGUUUUUUGUACUGAAUUGGGCGGAAAGCUGGAUUGAGAAGCAUUCAUUCAUUGAUUGCUUUUCUCUAGCGGACAGUCCUUGGAUGAGUCUCAUGGAUUCAUUUCUAAAACUUAAACUAAAACACAACUCUUAACAGCGGAUAUCUCGGUUCUC
RNAcentral lists this unclassified non-coding RNA (421 nucleotides) under fungal sp. RNAcentral describes it as "partial internal transcribed spacer region". The stretch from base 1 to 46 matches the Rfam family "Eukaryotic small subunit ribosomal RNA", at positions 1786 to 1831 of the family's 1831-position model. Lineage: Eukaryota; Fungi. The record is from RNAcentral.